GGCGAGAAACUCUCAGCAAAAUUACGGCUAACCAGUUACCCCUCCUGUUUUUCCCUCGGAUAUAACUCUUAUGGCAGUUAUUUCCAAUGUGCUUCGCCAUAUUCUCAGUACACUGUGGGAAUGGAGCUGAUCCAUUCAACGUUAUGAAGAGUCUUUCUGAAGAGGGGCUACUCCAUCGGGGCACCAACAGCUUCUGUCAGGCUUGUUCAGAUCUUCAGAGUACCUCUGGAUGAGGGAGAAGGGGACCCCGUAACGGCCAUGCUAUAAAAGGUUUACUGCACCCAGGAGCAAUAUCAGGGCUAAUCUCCUUGCCCUUUGCAAGGGACACUGGCAGAGGUUUGGGAGGAACUGGUGGUCUCACAUGAUGUGUGCAUAAAGGAGC
Colossoma macropomum (tambaqui) is the source of this 382-nucleotide long non-coding RNA. RefSeq lists it as uncharacterized. The record is from RefSeq and is a predicted model, not a curated record. Lineage: Eukaryota; Metazoa; Chordata; Actinopteri; Characiformes; Serrasalmidae. The transcript has 3 exons.